GAUGAAGGGGGCUAGCGUUGUUCGGAAUUACUGGGCGUAAAGCGCGUGUAGGCGGUUGUCCAAGUUGGAUGUGAAAGCCUUGAGCUUAACUCAAGAAAUGCAUUCAGGACUGGAUGACUAGAGGACCGGAGAGGAUAGUGGAAUUCCCAGUGUAGUGGUGAAAUACGUAGAGAUUGGGAAGAACACCAGUGGCGAAGGCGGCUAUCUGGACGGUUUCUGACGCUAAGACGCGAAAGCGUGGGGAGCAAACAGG
Molecule: ribosomal RNA, 253 nt
Filed under: uncultured bacterium
Lineage: Bacteria
Description: partial 16S ribosomal RNA
Rfam family: Bacterial small subunit ribosomal RNA
Source: RNAcentral